AUACGGAAGGUCCGGGCGUUAUCCGGAUUUAUUGGGUUUAAAGGGAGCGUAGGCGGGAGCUUAAGUCAGCGGUUAAAUGGUGCGGCUCAACCGUGCCCUGCCGUUGAAACUGGGUUUCUUGAGAGUGCAAGAGGCGGAUGGCAUUCUUGGUGUGGCGGUGGAAUGCUUAGAUAUCAUGAAGAACUCCGAUUGCGAAGGCAGUCCGCUGGGGCACGUCUGACGCUGAUGCUCGAAGGUGCGGGAAUCAAACAGGAUUAGAUACCCUGGUAGUCCGCACGGUAAACGAUGAUUACCCGCUGUCGGCGGCAGACAGUCGGCGGCCAAGCGAAAGCGACAAGUAAUCCACCUGGGGAGUACGCCGGCAACGGUGAAACUCAAAGGAAUUGACGGGG
RNAcentral lists this ribosomal RNA (392 nucleotides) under uncultured bacterium. RNAcentral describes it as "partial 16S ribosomal RNA". It matches the Rfam family "Bacterial small subunit ribosomal RNA", at positions 523 to 918 of the family's 1533-position model. The record is from RNAcentral.